AAAGUACUCCCUCCGUCCCAAAAUUCUUGUCUUAGAUUUGUCUAGAUACGGAUGUAUCAAGUCACAUUUUAGUAUUAGAUACAUCUGUAUCUAGACAAAUCUAAGACAAGAAAUUUGGGAUAGAGGGAGUAGUUG
Non-coding RNA from Triticum aestivum (bread wheat), 135 nucleotides. NCBI's taxonomy places the organism in Eukaryota, Viridiplantae, Streptophyta, Magnoliopsida, Poales, Poaceae. The record is from Rfam.